RNAcentral lists this ribosomal RNA (343 nucleotides) under uncultured bacterium. Its description in RNAcentral is "bacterial SSU rRNA". It matches the Rfam family "Bacterial small subunit ribosomal RNA", at positions 920 to 1265 of the family's 1533-position model. The record is from RNAcentral.
GACCCCGCACAAGCGGCGGAGCAUGCGGCUUAAUUCGAUGAUACCCGUAGAACCUUACCUGGACUUGACAUAUAGGGUCAAGCUAUAGAGAUAUAGUGUGCAUUAGCGCCCUAUACAGGUGGUGCAUGGCUGUCGUCAGCUCGUGUCGUGAGAUGUUGGUUAAGUCCCGCAACGAGCGCAACCCCUGUCCUAUGUUGCCAGCAUUUAGUUGGGGACUCAUAGGAGACUGCCGGUGAUAAACGAGGAAGGUAGGGUGGACGACGUCAAGUCAUCAUGCCCUUAUGUCCAGGGCUGCACGCAUGCUACAAUGGCAAGUACAACGAGUCGCAAUACCGCGAGGUGG